Molecule: ribosomal RNA, 445 nt
Filed under: uncultured bacterium
Lineage: Bacteria
Description: bacterial SSU rRNA
Rfam family: Bacterial small subunit ribosomal RNA
Source: RNAcentral
UGGGGAAUAUUGGACAAUGGGCGCAAGCCUGAUCCAGCCAUGCCGCGUGAGUGACGAAGGUCUUCGGAUUGUAAAGCUCUUUUGGCGGGGACGAUAAUGACGGUACCCGCAGAAUAAGCCCCGGCUAACUUCGUGCCAGCAGCCGCGGUAAUACGAAGGGGGCUAGCGUUGUUCGGAAUCACUGGGCGUAAAGCGCACGUAGGCGGAUUUGUUAGUCAGGGGUGAAAUCCCGGGGCUCAACCUCGGAACUGCCCCUUGAUACUGCAAAUCUCGAGUCCGAUAGAGGUGAGUGGAAUUCCUAGUGUAGAGGUGAAAUUCGUAGAUAUUAGGAAGAACACCAGUGGCGAAGGCGGCUCACUGGAUCGGUACUGACGCUGAGGUGCGAAAGCGUGGGGAGCAAACAGGAUUAGAUACCCGUGUAGUCCCUGAGCGGGCUGGCAAGGCG